GAUGAACGCUGGCGGCGUGCCUAAUACAUGCAAGUCGAGCGAACGGACGAGAAGCUUGCUUUUCUGAUGUUAGCGGCGGACGGGUGAGUAACACGUGGAUAACCUACCUAUAAGACUGGGAUAACUUCGGGAAACCGGAGCUAAUACCGGAUAAUAUUUUGAACCGCAUGGUUCAAAAGUGAAAGACGGUCUUGCUGUCACUUAUAGAUGGAUCCGCGCUGCAUUAGCUAGUUGGUAGGGUAACGGCUUACCAAGGCAACGAUGCAUAGCCGACCUGAGAGGGGGAUCGGCCACACUGGAACUGAGACACGGUCCAGACUCCUACGGGAGGCAGCAGUAGGGAAUGUUCCGCAAUGGGCGAAAGCCUGACGGAGCAACGCCGCGUGAGUGAUGAAGGUCUUCGGAUCGUAAAACUCUGUUAUUAGGGAAGAACAUAUGUGUAAGUAACUGUGCACAUCUUGACGGUACCUAAUCAGAAAGCCACGGCUAACUACGUG
RNAcentral lists this ribosomal RNA (497 nucleotides) under uncultured bacterium. RNAcentral describes it as "partial 16S ribosomal RNA". It matches the Rfam family "Bacterial small subunit ribosomal RNA", at positions 28 to 507 of the family's 1533-position model. The record is from RNAcentral.